AUCGUCUAGCGGGCGGGCUCCUCGGCGACCCCGCCCUUUCACGGCGGUAGCACGGGUUCGAAUCCCGUUGGGG
Molecule: transfer RNA, 73 nt
Filed under: Nocardioides lianchengensis
Lineage: Bacteria; Bacillati; Actinomycetota; Actinomycetes; Propionibacteriales; Nocardioidaceae
Description: tRNA-Glu
Source: RNAcentral